ACAAUGCGAAGAAGAGGAGGAGGACGACGACGACCGCGAGCUUCAUGGGUUUAUAGAUACUCCUUGGCAGCCAGUCUUUGUAUGGAGUCCACCGUGAUCUACUGUAUAGAGGGUCCAGUGACUAAUAGGGGGUCUCUGCAAACUUUCAAUGAGGACCAUUAGACUUCUUGAGAAGGAUUGGCUCAGGGAAGGAUUGACUGCAACCAUCUCACCCCAACCCCUGGGUGCAUCAGCAUUGGAUAUUAUGGGUUAAACCUCCUGUCUAUUGUUUAGGGUCACUAAUGGUUAAAGAAGUGGACUUGUGUUCAGAUGGAUGAAGAUUCAGUCUCAGUACUAGCAGGGAUUGUACAUGUUGGGAUUGAAUAACCAGCACUCUCAACACACUCUAUACCAGUGGUGGGCAAACUUUUUAGACCUGAGGACCACAUUAAGUUUUGCAAACUAAGUGAA
Molecule: long non-coding RNA, 450 nt
Organism: Danio aesculapii
Lineage: Eukaryota; Metazoa; Chordata; Actinopteri; Cypriniformes; Danionidae
Exons: 3
Source: RefSeq, a predicted model, not a curated record